UACAGAGGUCUCAAGCGUUGUUCGGAUUCAUUGGGCGUAAAGGGUGCGUAGGCGGUGAGGUAAGUUGGAUGUGAAAUCCCGGGGCUUAACCCCGGAACUGCAUUCAAUACUGCCUUGCUAGAGUACUGGAGAGGAGAUUGGAAUUCACGGUGUAGCAGUGAAAUGCGUAGAUAUUGCUCGGAAGGCCAACGGCGAAGGCAGGUUACUGGUACGCAACUGACACUGAGGCACGAAAGCGUGGGGAGCAAACAGG
RNAcentral lists this ribosomal RNA (253 nucleotides) under uncultured bacterium. RNAcentral describes it as "partial 16S ribosomal RNA". It matches the Rfam family "Bacterial small subunit ribosomal RNA", at positions 524 to 776 of the family's 1533-position model. The record is from RNAcentral.